This 1078-nucleotide long non-coding RNA is filed under the name Vulpes vulpes (red fox). Its description in RNAcentral is "lncRNA (ENSVVUG00000007564.1)". The record is from RNAcentral. Lineage: Eukaryota; Metazoa; Chordata; Mammalia; Carnivora; Canidae.
UUCCUUCUUCUCAGCCCCGGUUGAUGACAAGUCCACUGUGACUCUCCCUUCCCUGAACCCAUAAAGUCAGCAUCUCAUCACAAAAGACUGAGCUGCUUGUUAAGGGUCUCAAGUGCCUUUGCUUGGUCUGCCAAACAGACUGUAAGGUACCAGAAGAUAGGCUUGGGUUUCCUAUUCCUGUGGUUUUCUCCCAAACUGCCUGCACUACCCAGGGUGAUCUGCUGGACAAAUUGGCACAAGCCCAGUGAAUGGAGUCCCUGGAGGGCCACAGUCAGAGAAGAAUCUAGCCUGGUGUGGCUGUGUGAGUCACACGGCAGUGUGGGGAGCCUGAGGUUUGGGCCACUAGGGGAGAGAUCGCCAGCCGUCCCAUACCCAAAGCUUGUGUCUCAUCCGUCCUUUGAAAUUGAGGCAGACAAAUGGUGACAAGGACAAAUCUUGGAAGGUGAGCAUGUGCCUGAUGCCAGCCAUUCCCCUGGAGACUCCCCUAUGCCCACCAGACACCCAGAGACCUACAUAAUCUCAACCUCUAUAACUAUCACUCAUUUUCAGACCAGCUGCACCCUAAAGCCUUCUAUUUUACUUUCCUGAAGCUCUUGGUGUUGUUGGGGCACUAUUACCCUGCAUGAGGGAGGUAGACUCAUCCAAGCCAUGUGUAAAUGCUGAUUCUAGGAAGUCAGGACCCCAAGCUGGAAGCCCAAAUCCACCAAGUAUUAGCCUUGAACAAAUAUCAGUGCUCUUCAUCUGUAAAAUAGAGGGGUUGAAGCUGCUAUAUUCCAGGUGCUGUGAACACAGUGGUGUCCUGCCAGAUGCUGUGAACACAGUGGUGUCCUGGCCACCAUGGCUGACCUGGCCCAGGCCUUCAGGUAUUUCAGAGUCUACUGAAAACUUUGCUCUUCUCAUUCCAAGCUUUCCUACUUAUGUGACUUACACCAGAUUACUUAACCUCGGUGAACCUCAGUUUUUACAUCUGUGAGGUGGGGGAGCAAUUAGAGAAGGUAACAUGACAUGUGUAAAGGGUCUGUCGCAGUAUGUGGAACUCAUGUGUCCUCAAUAAAUGUAAGCCGUCUCCCCUAAGUCA